Molecule: small RNA, 690 nt
Filed under: Pongo abelii (Sumatran orangutan)
Lineage: Eukaryota; Metazoa; Chordata; Mammalia; Primates; Hominidae
Description: processed transcript
Source: RNAcentral
GGGCCACUGGCAGUGAGGGAGAGUGAGGAUGGCAGAGACCAGUGCCCUGCCCACCGGCUUCGGGGAGCUCGAGGUGCUGGCUGUGGGGAUGGUGCUGCUGGUGGAAGGCGCUGGCCCUACGGCUCGGACGGCUGCCAGGCUCACGGUUUCCAGGGCUUUGUGACAGCGUUGGCCAGCAUCUGCAGCAGUGCAGCCAUCGCGUGGGGGCGCUAUCACCACUACUGCACCCGCAGCCAGCUGGCCUGGAACUCAGCCAUCUCUCUGGUGCUCUUCGUGUGGCUGUCUUCUGCAUUCUGGGCAGCCCUGCCCCUCCUGGGUUGGGGCCACUAUGACUAUGAGCCACUUGGGACAUGCUGCACCUUGGACUACUCCAAGGGGGACAGAAACUUCACCAGCUUCCUCUUCACCAUGUCCUUCUUCAACUUCGCCAUGCCCCUCUUCAUCACGAUCACGUCCUACAGUCUCAUGGAGCAGAAACUGGGGAAGAGUGGCCAUCUCCAGGUAAACACCACUCUGCCAGCAAGGACGCUGCUGCUCGGCUGGGGCCCCUAUGCCGUCCUGUAUCUAUACGCAGUCAUCGCAGACGUGACUUCCAUCUCCCCCAAACUGCAGAUGGUGCCUGCUCUCAUUGCCAAAAUGGUGCCCACGAUCAAUGCCAUCAACUAUGCCCUGGGCAAUGAGAUGGUCUGC